CCUACGGGAGGCAGCAGUAGGGAAUAUUGGGACAAUGGGCGCAAGCCUGAUCCAGCCAUCCCGCGUGAAGGAUUAAGGCCCUCUGGGUUGUAAACUUCUUUUCUCUGGGAAUAAAACCGGUAUUCAUACUGGCUUGAAGGUACCAGAGGAAUAAGCACCGGCUAACUCCGUGCCAGCAGCCGCGGUAAUACGGAGGGUGCAAGCGUUAUCCGGAUUCACUGGGUUUAAAGGGUGCGUAGGUGGCUUUGUAAGUCAGUGGUGAAAUGCCGCAGCUCAACUGCGGAACUGCCAUUGAUACUGCUUAGCUUGAAUCACGUCGAGGUGGAUGGAAUAAUACAUGUAGCGGUGAAAUGCUUAGAUAUGUAUUAGAACACCGAUUGCGAAGGCAGUUCACUAGGCGUGUAUUGACACUGAGGCACGAAAGCGUGGGGAUCAAACAGGAUUAGAUACCCUGGUAGUCCACGACCUAACGACUAGUAACUACGACAUAGUACGAUAUACUAGUUAGUGUCACGACGAAGACGUUAAGUUUAACCGUACCGUACGGAAGGACGUAACCGCGAGUUAGUUAACGUACAAAUUAGUAAGUUAGACGGCGUGAGAGNGCGACGGACGACGACGAGGGAGGAGG
Molecule: ribosomal RNA, 631 nt
Filed under: uncultured bacterium
Lineage: Bacteria
Description: bacterial SSU rRNA
Rfam family: Bacterial small subunit ribosomal RNA (bases 1-536)
Source: RNAcentral